RNAcentral lists this ribosomal RNA (253 nucleotides) under uncultured bacterium. RNAcentral describes it as "partial 16S ribosomal RNA". It matches the Rfam family "Bacterial small subunit ribosomal RNA", at positions 524 to 776 of the family's 1533-position model. The record is from RNAcentral.
UACGUAGGUGGCGAGCGUUGUCCGGAUUUACUGGGCGUAAAGGGCUCGUAGGCGGCCAACUAAGUCAUACGUGAAAUCCCUCAGCUUAACUGGGGAACUGCGUGUGAUACUGGAUGGCUUGGAUUUGGGAGAGGGAUGCGGAAUUCCAGGUGUAGCGGUGAAAUGCAUAGAUAUCUGGAGGAACACCGGUGGCGAAGGCGGCAUCCUGGACCAAUAUUGACGCUGAGGAGCGAAAGCCAGGGGAGCAAACGGG